CCUACGGGUGGCAGCAGUUGGGAAUCUUGCACAAUGGGGGAAACCCUGAUGCAGCGACGCCGCGUGGAGGACGAAGGAUCUAGGUCUGUAAACUCCUUUUUCAGGGAAAGACUUAGGACGGUACCCUGAGAAUAAGCACCGGCUAACUACGUGCCAGCAGCCGCGGUAAGACGUAGGGUGCAAGCGUUGUCCGGAUUUACUGGGCGUAAAGGGCGCGUAGGCGGCUUGUUAAGUGUGAAGUGAAAUCUCCAGUGCUCAACACGGAAACUGCUUUA
This 275-nucleotide ribosomal RNA is filed under the name uncultured bacterium. RNAcentral describes it as "partial 16S ribosomal RNA". It matches the Rfam family "Bacterial small subunit ribosomal RNA", at positions 338 to 628 of the family's 1533-position model. The record is from RNAcentral.